Molecule: long non-coding RNA, 1510 nt
Filed under: Homo sapiens (human)
Lineage: Eukaryota; Metazoa; Chordata; Mammalia; Primates; Hominidae
Description: HSALNT0339615
Source: RNAcentral
GUUGGCCUCAAAUCUACAGUGCUCUAGAACCCAGCAAAGACCUCCUAAUGCAGGCAGCCCCCGGCCACACGCAGGGGCAAGGGGAACGCAUGCGCACCGGGCCCUUCAACCCCAUCGCCAAGCCUACCCACCUCCUUUCUCAGGGCUGAGAUGCCGUCGAGGAUGUACCGAAUUUGUUUGUCAAUUCGUUCUGAAGAGCCCCCCAAGCCUGGGAUUAUGAAGAAGGUAAUACUACCAGUCAUCUGAGUUCUUCUGUGUUCUGGCUCUCCCUGUGAGCGGCUGUUGUAGAACUGCCUGGCCAUCCUCAAAUUUCGUGCAGUUACUUCAAGGCGUCUCCAGGUGGAGUGUGUGACUCCUUUUUGCCACCGCGUGGCUUCUGCCACUUUCUUCACCUGCUUCAGCCCACUUAGAGGAGGUUGGCUGCUGCCCUGCCCUCUCCCAAGUGACCCCUUGGGAAUCCUCCCAGUGAGGACUUUGCUCUCUGUGCCAGAGGUUUGCCUUGUGCUGCCAGUGCUCUCCCCAUUGCCACUGAGUCUCUUCACCACUGUUUCACUGGGGCACCUGCAUGGGCCCCAGGUCUCCUGGAGCCCUGAAAUUACUGAAGCCCACUUGGUUCAGGGCAGAAAGGGGGAGAAUACUACUCACCUCUUUGUUGGGGAUGUCAAAGGAGGACCUUGUGGCAUCUUGCAGAGUUUGUGUUUAUCGCUCCCUCUCCCUGUAAGUCUUGAUUUGAAAUCAAAAGAAGCUAGAAGGAAACUACGGACGCAGGCACGGCUCUAGGCUCUGAAUCUGCUUCCGCGUCGGCACCCAAGAAUUUCUUAUUGGGUCAAGCUGGUUCAGAAGCCCUCUUCCCUCAGGAUGGUGUCUCUUGCAGGAGGAUCCUUGGUCUCAUGCAAAUGGGCUCUAGACUAGGUUGUCCCUCCAGUCUCCAGAGACCCAGACAGCUCUGAGAUGGCUUCAGGCUGAAACCAGACCCUUGCACAACACCAAAACACUUAUUUACCAAACAUGGUGUUACCUUCACAAUCGGUUUCUUUGCUUUGCUAAGAAGAGAUCUCUUCAAGAUCGAUAAAACAGUGACCUCUGUUGGGCAUUUACUCAAGUUUUGUUUCGUGCAUAACAUUUCAGGACCCGCCUGUUGGGGAAAGUGAGGUCAUCCAUUCUUCACCGAUUGUCUAAACAGAGACGGUGGUCCUCUGCCGCGGUGGGAUUCUUUGGUGUGAAAAUGAAAAUGGGGGAGGAUGGCUGGAUGGUUUCAUUUUUAGUGCUCUCCUGUCUUAAGCAACGUAGACACUCCUGAACCAAGUUCUCUUUCCUGCAUGAAACGAAGCCACUGCUCCCAGCUCCGCAGCCGUGCACUGUGAUCCGUCUAUGUAAUGUGAGCUUGCUUUUACUCAACUAUCUAUUUUUUAGAAAAUACAAUUCAAUAAAUUUCAAGUACUUGAACUGAGUGACACAAUACAACACACAGAUUUAUCUUUUCAAUAAAAAGUGUUUUUUAAAUAGGAAG